UACGUAGGGUGCGAGCGUUAAUCGGAAUUACUGGGCGUAAAGCGUGCGCAGGCGGUUCGUUGUGUCGGCGGUGAAAGCCCCGGGCUUAACCUGGGAAUGGCCGUUGAAACUGGCGAACUGGAGUGUGGCAGAGGGGGGUGGAAUUCCGCGUGUAGCAGUGAAAUGCGUAGAGAUCCGGAAGAACACCAGUGGCGAAGGCGGCCCGCUGGGCAGUGGCUGACGCUGAAGCGCGACAGCGUGGGGAGCAAACAGG
Molecule: ribosomal RNA, 253 nt
Filed under: uncultured bacterium
Lineage: Bacteria
Description: partial 16S ribosomal RNA
Rfam family: Bacterial small subunit ribosomal RNA
Source: RNAcentral